UAGUCCAUGCCGUAAACGAUGAGAACUAGCUGUUGGAUGCCCAUUGGGUGUUUAGUAGCGCAGCUAACGCAAUAAGUUCUCCGCCUGGGGAGUACGGCCGCAAGGCUAAAACUCAAAGGAAUUGACGGGGGCCCGCACAAGCGGUGGAGCAUGUGGUUUAAUUCGAUGCAACGCGAAGAACCUUACCUACUCUUGACAUCCACGGAACCUUCUAGAGAUAGAAGGGUGCCUUCGGGAAUCGUGAGACAGGUGGUGCAUGGUUGUCGUCAGCUCGUGUCGUGAGAUGUUGGGUUAAGUCCCGCAACGAGCGCAACCCUUAUCUUUAGUAACCAGCACGUUAUGGUGGGGACUCUAGAGAGACUGCCGGGGACAACUCGGAGGAAGGUGGGGAUGACGUCAAAUCAUCAUGCCCCUUAUGACUUGGGCUACACACGUGCUACAAUGGCUGUGACAAAGGGAAGCGAGAGGGUGACCUUAAGCAAAUCUCAAAAAAGCAGCCCCAGUUCGGA
Molecule: ribosomal RNA, 509 nt
Filed under: uncultured bacterium
Lineage: Bacteria
Description: bacterial SSU rRNA
Rfam family: Bacterial small subunit ribosomal RNA
Source: RNAcentral